Molecule: unclassified non-coding RNA, 334 nt
Filed under: soil metagenome
Description: partial contains 5.8S ribosomal RNA, internal transcribed spacer 2, and large subunit ribosomal RNA
Rfam family: 5.8S ribosomal RNA (bases 1-120)
Source: RNAcentral
GAUGAAGAACGCAGCGAAAUGCGAUAAGUAAUGUGAAUUGCAGAAUUCAGUGAAUCAUCGAAUCUUUGAACGCACAUUGCGCCCGCUAGUAUUCUGGCGGGCAUGCCUGUUCGAGCGUCAUUUCAACCAUCAAGCCCUGCUUGUGUUGGGGUCCUGCGGCUGCCCGCAGGCCCUGAAAACCAGUGGCGGGCUCGCUAGUCACACCGAGCGCAGUAGCACAUCUCGCUCAGUGCGUGCGGCGGGUUCUUGCCGUAAAACACCCCCUUUUUACCAAGGUUGACCUCGGAUCAGGUAGGAAUACCCGCUGAACUUAAGCAUAUCAAUAAGCGGAGGA